GACGAACGCUGGCGGCGUGCUUAACACAUGCAAGUCGAACGGAAAGGCCCUGCUUUUGUGGGGUUCUCGAGUGGCGAACGGGUGAGUAACACGUGAGUAACCUGCCCUUGACUUUGUGAUAACUUCAGGAAACUGGGGCUAAUACCGGAUAGGAUCUCCUGCUGCAUGGUGUGGGUUGGAAAGUUUCGGCGGUUGUGUAUGUACUCGCUGCUUAUCAGCUGGUUUGUGGGGUAGUUGCUUACCAAGGCUUUGACGGGUAGCCUGCCUGAGAGGGUGACCGGCCACAUUGGGACUGAGAUACGGACCAGACUCCUACGGGCGGCAGCAGUGGGGAACAUUACAGAAUGGGCGGGAGCCAGAUGCAGAAACGCCGCGUGCGGGAUGACGGCUUUCGGGUUGUAAACAGAUUUCGACUGUGACGAAGCGUGAGUGACGGUAAUGGGUAAAGAGGCACCGGCUAACUACGUG
RNAcentral lists this ribosomal RNA (468 nucleotides) under uncultured bacterium. Its description in RNAcentral is "partial 16S ribosomal RNA". It matches the Rfam family "Bacterial small subunit ribosomal RNA", at positions 28 to 507 of the family's 1533-position model. The record is from RNAcentral.